This 77-nucleotide transfer RNA is filed under the name SAR202 cluster bacterium. Its description in RNAcentral is "tRNA-Arg". It matches the Rfam family "tRNA". Rfam says of the family: Transfer RNA (tRNA) molecules are approximately 80 nucleotides in length. Their secondary structure includes four short double-helical elements and three loops (D, anti-codon, and T loops). Lineage: Bacteria; Bacillati; Chloroflexota; Dehalococcoidia. The record is from RNAcentral.
GCAUCCGUAGCUCAGCGGAUCAGAGCGGCAGUUUGCGAAACUGCAGGUCGAAGGUUCAAGUCCUUCCGGAUGCCCCA